AGUGAACGCUGGCGGUAGGCCUAACACAUGCAAGUCGAACGGCAGCACAGGAGAGCUUGCUCUCUGGGUGGCGAGUGGCGGACGGGUGAGGAAUACAUCGGAAUCUACUCUGUCGUGGGGGAUAACGUAGGGAAACUUACGCUAAUACCGCAUACGACCUACGGGUGAAAGCAGGGGACCUUCGGGCCUUGCGCGAUUGAAUGAGCCGAUGUCGGAUUAGCUAGUUGGCGGGGUAAAGGCCCACCAAGGCGACGAUCCGUAGCUGGUCUGAGAGGAUGAUCAGCCACACUGGCACUGAGACACGGUCCAGACUCCUCCGGGAGGCAGCAGUGGGGAAUAUUGGACAAUGGGCGCAAGCCUGAUCCAGCCAUACCGCGUGGGUGAAGAAGGACUUCGGGUUGUAAAGCCCUUUUGUUGGGAAAGAAAUCCAGCUGGCUAAUACCCGGUUGGGAUGACGGUACCCAAAGAAUAAGCACCGGCUAACUUCGUGCCAGCCGCCGCAGUAA
RNAcentral lists this ribosomal RNA (506 nucleotides) under uncultured bacterium. RNAcentral's name for it is "partial 16S ribosomal RNA". It matches the Rfam family "Bacterial small subunit ribosomal RNA", at positions 29 to 523 of the family's 1533-position model. The record is from RNAcentral.